UCCCUGGUAGUAUAUCGGUUAGUACACGCGCCUGUCAUCUUGGUGCAAUACCGCGCGAAAGCUGGGUUCGACUCCCAGCCAGGGAG
Molecule: non-coding RNA, 86 nt
Organism: Lentinula guzmanii
Lineage: Eukaryota; Fungi; Basidiomycota; Agaricomycetes; Agaricales; Omphalotaceae
Source: the annotation of a GenBank genome assembly